RNAcentral lists this ribosomal RNA (253 nucleotides) under uncultured bacterium. Its description in RNAcentral is "partial 16S ribosomal RNA". It matches the Rfam family "Bacterial small subunit ribosomal RNA", at positions 524 to 776 of the family's 1533-position model. The record is from RNAcentral.
UACGGAGGUGGCAAGCGUUGCUCGGAAUCACUGGGCGUAAAGGGCGCGUAGGCGGGGAGGUAAGUCGGGUGUGAAAUCCCUCGGCCCAACCGAGGAACUGCGCCCGAGACUGCUUCUCUUGAGUCCCGGAGAGGAAGAUGGAAUUCCCGGUGUAGCGGUGAAAUGUGUAGAGAUCGGGAGGAACACCGGUGGCGAAGGCGGUUCUCUGGGCAUUACCUGACGCUGAGGAGCGAAAGUGUGGGGAGCGAACAGG